AGAGUUUGAUCCUGGCUCAGGAUAAACGCUGGCGGCAUGCCUAAUACAUGCAAGUCGAACGGGAGUGCUUGCACUCCAGUGGCGAACGGGUGAGUAACACGUAUCUAAUCUACCUUAUAGCGGGGGAUAGCCUUUGGAAACGAAGGGUAAUACCGCAUGAGAAUUUCAUUAUCGCAUGAGAAGAAAUUGAAAGCACCGUUUGGUGCACUAUAAGAUGAGGAUGCGGCGUAUUAGCUAGUAGGUGGGGUAAAGGCCCACCUAGGCGAUGAUACGUAGCCGAACUGAGAGGUUGAUCGGCCACAUUGGGACUGAGAUACGGCCCAGACUCCUACGGGAGGCAGCAGUAGGGAAUUUUUCACAAUGGACGAAAGUCUGAUGAAGCAAUGCCGCGUGAGUGAUGAAGGUUUUCGGAUCGUAAAGCUCUGUUGUAAGGGAAGAACACACUUGAGAGGAAAUGCUCUUGUGCUGACGGUACCUUACCAGAAAGCCACGGCUAACUAUGUGCCAGCAGCCGCGGUAAUACAUAGGUGGCAAGCGUUAUCCGGAUUUAUUGGGCGUAUAGGGUGCGUAGGCGGUUUUGCAAGUUUGAGGUUAAAGCCUGGGGCUCAACCCCAGUUCGCCUUGAAAACUGUGAGACUAGAAUACAAGAGAGGUAAGCGGAAUUCCAUGUGUAGCGGUGAAAUGCGUAGAUAUAUGGAGGAACACCUGUGGCGAAAGCGGCUUACUGGCUUGUUAUUGACGCUGAGGCACGAAAGCGUGGGGAGCAAAUAGGAUUAGAUACCCUAGUAGUCCACGCCGUAAACGUUGAGUACUAAGUGUCGGGGGUUAUACCUCGGUGCUGCAGCUAACGCAUUAAGUACUCCGCCUGAGUAGUAUGCUCGCAAGAGUGAAACUCAAAGGAAUUGACGGGGACCCGCACAAGUGGUGGAGCAUGUGGUUUAAUUCGAAGCAACACGAAGAACCUUACCAGGGCUUGACAUCCAGUGCAAAGGCAUAGAGAUAUGCUGGAGGCUAACAUUGAGACAGGUGGUGCAUGGUUGUCGUCAGUUCGUGCCGUGAGGUGUUGGGUUAAGUCCCGCA
This 1080-nucleotide ribosomal RNA is filed under the name Mesoplasma photuris ATCC 49581. Its description in RNAcentral is "bacterial SSU rRNA". It matches the Rfam family "Bacterial small subunit ribosomal RNA", at positions 8 to 1091 of the family's 1533-position model. The record is from RNAcentral. Lineage: Bacteria; Bacillati; Mycoplasmatota; Mollicutes; Entomoplasmatales; Entomoplasmataceae.